RNAcentral lists this ribosomal RNA (253 nucleotides) under uncultured bacterium. RNAcentral describes it as "partial 16S ribosomal RNA". It matches the Rfam family "Bacterial small subunit ribosomal RNA", at positions 524 to 776 of the family's 1533-position model. The record is from RNAcentral.
UACGUAGGGGGCUAGCGUUGUCCGGAAUCAUUGGGCGUAAAGCGCGUGUAGGCGGCCCGGUAAGUCCGCUGUGAAAGUCGGGGGCUCAACCCUCGGAUGCCGGUGGAUACUGUCGGGCUCGAGUACGGAAGAGGCGAGUGGAAUUCCUGGUGUAGCGGUGAAAUGCGCAGAUAUCAGGAGGAACACCAAUUGCGAAGGCAGCUCGCUGGGACUUUACUGACGCUGAGACGCGAAAGCGUGGGGAGCAAACAGG